Molecule: non-coding RNA, 22 nt
Filed under: Arabidopsis thaliana (thale cress)
Lineage: Eukaryota; Viridiplantae; Streptophyta; Magnoliopsida; Brassicales; Brassicaceae
Source: RNAcentral
GAUUCGUUUUCGUGAAUUGCAA